GUCUUGAGCAAUUUUUUUCAAUGGGUAGCAUAUGGUAGAUACAUGAUAUACAUUUUUUUAGUUAUUUUUUAAUAAAGAUUUAAAAUCUUAAUAAGGGUUUUGACUUGUCCUAACCAGAAUUCAUCUCUGUUUAACAUAUAAAGUAGUCAUGUAGAAAGAAAUGAGCUUGCCCUUUGUCUUAUAGCAUCAGCAUGGCUUCCUAUGUCCUCCCUGUUCAUUUAUUCACUCACGGAGGCACAGGCUGCUGCAGUGAAGUCAGGCCAGGGAUGCUGCUUCAUUCCUCUUGCUGACAUUGAGCACCUGCUGUGUACAGGCUCCGUGUGAGGUGCCAGAACUGGAACAUAUGCUUGGGCCACUUGUAUCAUCUGUACUUUGUAGAGACCCCACUGGCAAAGCCAGACAAGCAGAAACAUUCUAGAAGCCCUUAACUCUGUAGUUAAGAAACUUACUUGCCCCUUACACCAUAGAUCUUGGAAGUAGGUAAUACAGCAAGUUAUUUAUUAACAUACCUAUGAAACCAAGCAGAAACCUUGAAGAGAAUCUUAUAAUUAAAGGACUUAAGCUUGAGGUGGGGGUGGGGGAAACGGAAACUGCCAGUAGAAUUUUCCAUAUGGAUCAUGCUAUGGAGAAGUGACUUGAGGGUGCUGGGGUAAGUGAGUUAUAUGCCAGUUACCUAGAUGUACAUUUG
Molecule: long non-coding RNA, 688 nt
Filed under: Marmota monax (woodchuck)
Lineage: Eukaryota; Metazoa; Chordata; Mammalia; Rodentia; Sciuridae
Source: RNAcentral